UUCUUGUUUUAUUUUUCAGAAUGACAGUUGAUAUUCCAGUCUUAUAUCUGAACUUAGCUCAUCAUCAAAACUGCCCACUUUUAUCUCUGCACCAAAGACUCACUCAGAAAGGAUACAGCAUGCCAUGCUGCUUCUGUGGAGCUUGGCGUGGAAAAAUUCUUCGUCAUUUGAAGAAUGUGCUCAAGAUGCUGUGACAGAUUUGCAGGAAUUCUUCCGAAGCCAAGACCAACAGCCAAGGGAUGACACUGCCCACAGUGAGCAGGCCAUUUCUACAAACAUCAAUCAAGAAAAUGCACUAUAGGCUUGCCCACAUGCCAGUAUAGUGGGACUAUUUUCUCAACUGAGUCUCCCUCUUCCAAAAUGCCUCAGUUUAUAAAAAGUUGACAUAAAUCUAGCCAGCACAAACAAUACCUAGAAAGUGAAGUUGUCAAAUUUGGUACUUUAAUAUCAACGACAUAUUGAAAUCAAGAGUGAGAAAUAAAAUUUUCCUCAGAAUGA
Mesocricetus auratus (golden hamster) is the source of this 498-nucleotide long non-coding RNA. RefSeq lists it as uncharacterized. NCBI's taxonomy places the organism in Eukaryota, Metazoa, Chordata, Mammalia, Rodentia, Cricetidae. The transcript has 2 exons. The record is from RefSeq and is a predicted model, not a curated record.